RNAcentral lists this ribosomal RNA (504 nucleotides) under uncultured archaeon. RNAcentral describes it as "bacterial SSU rRNA". It matches the Rfam family "Archaeal small subunit ribosomal RNA", at positions 325 to 836 of the family's 1478-position model. The record is from RNAcentral.
ACGGGGUGCAGCAGGCGCGAAACCUCCGCAAUACACGAAAGUGUGACGGGGUUACCCAAAGUGUUCAAUUUUGAACUGUGGUAGGUGAGUAAUGUUCCCUACUAGAAAGGAGAGGGCAAGGCUGGUGCCAGCCGCCGCGGUAAAACCAGCUCUUCAAGUGGUCGGGAUAAUUAUUGGGCUUAAAGUGUCCGUAGCCGGUUUAGUAAGUUCCUGGUAAAAUCGGGUAGCUUAACUAUCUAUAUGCUAGGAAUACUACUAUACUAGAGGGCGGGAGAGGUCUGAGGUACUGCAGGGGUAGGGGUGAAAUCUUAUAAUCCUUGUUGGACCACCAGUGGCGAAGGCGUCAGACUGGAACGCGCCUGACGGUGAGGGACGAAAGCCAGGGGAGCGAACCGGAUUAGAUACCCGGGUAGUCCUGGCCGUAAACGAUGCAUACUAGGUGAUGGCACGGCCAUGAGCCGUGUCAGUGCCGUAGGGAAACCGUUAAGUGUGCCGCCUGGAAGU